GACGUAGGGGCGCGAGCGUUUGUCCGGAUUUAUUGGGCGUAAAGAGCUCGUAGGCGGUUUGUCGCGUCUGCUGUGAAAACUCGGGGCUCAACCCCGAGCCUGCAGUGGGGUACGGGCAGACUAGAGUGCGGUAGGGGGAGACUGGAAUUCCUGGUGUAGCGGUGAAAUGCGCAGAUAUCAGGAGGGAACACCGGUGGCGA
Molecule: ribosomal RNA, 200 nt
Filed under: uncultured bacterium
Lineage: Bacteria
Description: partial 16S ribosomal RNA
Rfam family: Bacterial small subunit ribosomal RNA
Source: RNAcentral